GAUGAACGCUGGCGGCGUGCCUAAUACAUGCAAGUCGAGCGAACAGAUAAGGAGCUUGCUCCUUUGACGUUAGCGGCGGACGGGUGAGUAACACGUGGGUAACCUACCUAUAAGACUGGGGUAACUUCGGGAAACCGGAGCUAAUACCGGAUAACAUUUGGAACCGCAUGGUUCUAAAGUGAAAGAUGGUUUUGCUAUCACUUAUAGAUGGACCCGCGCCGUAUUAGCUAGUUGGUAAGGUAACGGCUUACCAAGGCAACGAUACGUAGCCGACCUGAGAGGGUGAUCGGCCACACUGGAACUGAGACACGGUCCAGACUCCUACGGGAGGCAGCAGUAGGGAAUCUUCCGCAAUGGGCGAAAGCCUGACGGAGCAACGCCGCGUGAGUGAUGAAGGGUUUCGGCUCGUAAAACUCUGUUAUUAGGGAAGAACAAACGUGUAAGUAACUGUGCACGUCUUGACGGUACCUAAUCAGAAAGCCACGGCUAACUACGUG
RNAcentral lists this ribosomal RNA (497 nucleotides) under uncultured bacterium. RNAcentral's name for it is "partial 16S ribosomal RNA". It matches the Rfam family "Bacterial small subunit ribosomal RNA", at positions 28 to 507 of the family's 1533-position model. The record is from RNAcentral.